This 700-nucleotide ribosomal RNA is filed under the name uncultured bacterium. Its description in RNAcentral is "bacterial SSU rRNA". It matches the Rfam family "Bacterial small subunit ribosomal RNA", at positions 8 to 694 of the family's 1533-position model. The record is from RNAcentral.
AGAGUUUGAUCCUGGCUCAGGACGAACGCUGGCGGCGUGCUUAACACAUGCAAGUGGAGCGACGAACCAGGCUUCGGCCUGGGGCAAAGCCGCGAACGGGUGAGUAACACGUGGGUAACCUGCCCCGAUGACCGGGACAACCCGAGGAAACUCGGGCUAAUACCGGAUGUGGUCCCAUCACACCAGUGAUGUGACUAAAGGAAGCUUCGGCCUCCGCAUUGGGAUGGGCCCGCGGCCCAUUAGCUUGUUGGUGAGGUAACGGCUCACCAAGGCCGCGAUGGGUAGCUGGUCUGAGAGGACGAUCAGCCACACUGGGACUGAGACACGGCCCAGACUCCUACGGGAGGCAGCAGCGGGGAAUCUUGCGCAAUGCGCGAAAGCGUGACGCAGCAACGCCGCGUGGGGGAAGAAGGCCUUCGGGUUGUAAACCCCUUUCAGUUGGGACGAAGCGCCGGCCGUUAACAGCGGUUCGGCGUGACGGUACCUUCACAAGAAGCCCCGGCUAACUACGUGCCAGCAGCCGCGGUAAUACGUAGGGGGCAAGCGUUGUCCGGAAUCAUUGGGCGUAAAGAGCGCGUAGGCGGUCCGGUAAGUCAGCUGUGAAAGUCGGGGGCUCAACCCCCGGAGGCCGGUUGAUACUGCCGGGCUAGAGUCCGGAAGAGGCGAGUGGAAUUCCUGGUGUAGCGGUGAAAUGCGUAGA